GAUGAACGCUGGCGGCGUGCCUAAUACAUGCAAGUCGAGCGAACAGACGAGGAGCUUGCUCCUCUGAUGUUAGCGGCGGACGGGUGAGUAACACGUGGAUAACCUACCUAUAAGACUGGGAUAACUUCGGGAAACCGGAGCUAAUACCGGAUAACAUGUUGAACCGCAUGGUUCAACAGUGAAAGACGGUCUUGCUGUCACUUAUAGAUGGAUCCGCGCCGCAUUAGCUAGUUGGUAAGGUAACGGCUUACCAAGGCAACGAUGCGUAGCCGACCUGAGAGGAUGAUCAGCCACACUGGAACUGAGACACGGUCCAGACUCCUACGGGAGGCAGCAGUAGGGAAUCUUCCGCAAUGGGCGAAAGCCUGACGGAGCAACGCCGCGUGAGUGAAGAAGGUCUUCGGAUCGUAAAACUCUGUUAUUAGGGAAGAACAAAUGUGUAAGUAACUAUGCACGUCUUGACGGUACCUAAUCAGAAAGCCACGGCUAACUACGUG
Molecule: ribosomal RNA, 497 nt
Filed under: uncultured bacterium
Lineage: Bacteria
Description: partial 16S ribosomal RNA
Rfam family: Bacterial small subunit ribosomal RNA
Source: RNAcentral